This is a small nuclear RNA of Nomascus leucogenys (northern white-cheeked gibbon), 62 nucleotides long. Its record names the gene U7. It matches the Rfam family "U7 small nuclear RNA". From Rfam's summary of the family: Animal histone pre-mRNAs are spliced by a different mechanism than nuclear pre-mRNAs and self-splicing introns. This processing involves the U7 snRNP, which contains only one RNA species: U7. The 5' end of U7 RNA is thought to base-pair to a conserved spacer element downstream of the cleavage site in histone pre-mRNA. The record is from Ensembl. Lineage: Eukaryota; Metazoa; Chordata; Mammalia; Primates; Hylobatidae.
AAGUGUCAUAGCUCUUUUAGAAUUUGUUUAGCAGGCUUUCUGGUUUUUACUGCAAAGCCCCU